Molecule: ribosomal RNA, 424 nt
Filed under: uncultured bacterium
Lineage: Bacteria
Description: partial 16S ribosomal RNA
Rfam family: Bacterial small subunit ribosomal RNA
Source: RNAcentral
AAUUUUGGACAAUGGGCGCAAGCCUGAUCCAGCCAUGCCGCGUGAGUGAAGAAGGCCUUCGGGUUGUAAAGCUCUUUCGGACUGACAACAAUCGCUCUGGCUUAUACCCUCCUCGGUUGACGUUACCCGCAUAACAAGCCCCAGCUAACUACGUGCCAGCCACCGCGGUAAUACGUAGGGUGCGAGCGUUAAUCGGAAUUCCUGGGCGUAAAGCGUGCGCAGGCGGUUGACUAAGACAGGCGUGAAAUCCCCGGGCUUAACCUGGGAACUGCGCUUGUGACUGGUCAGCUAGAGUACGGCAGAGGGGGGUGGAAUUCCACGUGUAGCAGUGAAAUGCGUAGAGAUGUGGAGGAACACCGAUGGCGAAGGCAGCCCCCUGGGCCGAUACUGACGCUCAUGCACGAAAGCGUGGGUAGCAAACAGG